AGAUUUUAUAAUAAGGGAUGGAACUGUGGAGGACAGAUCUUUUCUCAUCUUUCUGUGUUUCUUCUCUUCCUAGGCCUAAUGCAGCACUGCUAGACAAAUCCAGCUAGUAAGAAGGAAGAUGACACUGAAACCCAGUUAGCCUCAUUCCUCAACUUGGAGCUAUCAUCCUACACUGUAUGAGAUGUGGCAGUGACACUGGAACACACAUACCCUCCUUCACUUGAAGAUCACACAUAAAAACUGGCAAAUGUCUUCCACUUUCAGGCAAAUGAAAACAACUUUCAGGGCCAUCAGCUUUAGCCAAGAUAGUCUUCUUACUGCAGAUGACAAAAAUACAGACUUCCAAGAUAUAUUAUCCAAAUAUAUCUAAUCUUUCUG
Molecule: long non-coding RNA, 378 nt
Filed under: Chinchilla lanigera (long-tailed chinchilla)
Lineage: Eukaryota; Metazoa; Chordata; Mammalia; Rodentia; Chinchillidae
Description: lncRNA (ENSCLAG00000022212.1)
Source: RNAcentral